UGAUAGUAUCAGAAGAGGAAGGGACGGCUAACUCUGUGCCAGCAGCCGCGGUAAUACAGAGGUCUCAAGCGUUGUUCGGAUUCAUUGGGCGUAAAGGGUGCGUAGGUGGCGCGCUAAGUCAGGUGUGAAAUUUCGGAGCUUAACUCCGAAACUGCAUUUGAUACUGGCGUGCUUGAGGACUGGAGAGGAGACUGGAAUUCACGGUGUAGCAGUGAAAUGCGUAGAUAUCGUGAGGAAGACCAGUGGCGAAGGCGGGUCUCUGGACAGUUCCUGACACUGAGGCACGAAGGCCAGGGGAGCAAACGGGAUUAGAUACCCCGGUAGUCCUGGCAGUAAACGGUGCACGUUUGGUGUGGGAGGAUUCGACCCCUUCUGCGCCGGAGCUAACGCGUUAAACGUGCCGCCUGGGGAGUACGGUCGCAAGAUUAAAACUCAAAGAAAUUGACGGGGGCCCGCACAAGCGGUGGAGUAUGUGGCUUAAUUCGAUGCAACGCGAAGAACCUUACCUGGCCUUGACAUGCAUCUCUAAGCGCGUGAAAGCGCGUGACUCCCGAAAGGGAGAAUUUGCACAGG
This 573-nucleotide ribosomal RNA is filed under the name uncultured Verrucomicrobiota bacterium. RNAcentral's name for it is "bacterial SSU rRNA". It matches the Rfam family "Bacterial small subunit ribosomal RNA", at positions 470 to 1038 of the family's 1533-position model. The record is from RNAcentral. Lineage: Bacteria; Pseudomonadati; Verrucomicrobiota.